This 273-nucleotide ribosomal RNA is filed under the name uncultured bacterium. Its description in RNAcentral is "partial 16S ribosomal RNA". It matches the Rfam family "Bacterial small subunit ribosomal RNA", at positions 524 to 796 of the family's 1533-position model. The record is from RNAcentral.
UACAGAGGUCCCAAGCGUUGUUCGGAUUCACUGGGCGUAAAGGGUGCGUAGGUGGCCGGGUAAGUCUGAUGUGAAAGCUCCGAGCUCAACUCGGAAAUGGCAUUGGAUACUACCCGGCUUGAGGGUCGGAGGGGAGACUGGAAUUCUCGGUGUAGCAGUGAAAUGCGUAGAUAUCGAGAGGAACACCAGUGGCGAAGGCGAGUCUCUGGACGACACCUGACACUGAGGCACGAAAGCUAGGGGAGCAAACAGGAUUAGAAACCCUUGUAGUCC